Molecule: ribosomal RNA, 518 nt
Filed under: uncultured bacterium
Lineage: Bacteria
Description: bacterial SSU rRNA
Rfam family: Bacterial small subunit ribosomal RNA
Source: RNAcentral
GGCUCAGAACGAACGCUGGUAGCGUGGAUUAGGCAUGCAAGUCGAACGGGAUCCGGGAGGUAGCAAUACUUCCUGGUGAGAGUGGCGGAUUGGGGAGGAACACGUGAGCAACCUGCCUUUGAGUCGGGGAAAACCGUUGGAAACGACGGCUAAUACCGGAUGUGGCGCCCGGAGACAUCUUCGGAGCGCUGAAGGGGGCCGCAAGGCUCUCGCUCGUAGAGGGGCUCGCGCACCAUCAGCUUGUUGGCGGGUAACGGCCCACCAAGGCCUACGGUUAGCUGGUCUGAGAGGAUGACCAGCCCCACUGGGACUGAGAUACUGCCCAGACUCCUACGGGAGGCUGCAGUCGAGGAUCAUUUGCAAUGGGCGAAAGCCUGACAAUGCGACGCUGCGUGGAAGGAUGAAGGCCUUCGGGUUGUAAACUCCUGUCAUGGGGGAACAGGCGAGGGGAGUUAAUACCUCCCUUAGUUGAGUGUACCCCAAGAGGAAUUGGCGGCUAACUCUGUGCCAGCAGCAGC